GACAGAAAAGAUGAAUGAAUAGGUAGGUAAUGAUUUUUGUUAGGUACCUACUUACCUAGUCGUUUUGUUUCGUCGUUUACUUACUAUUUACUUCUGUUUCUACGUGAUCGUUGUUUUCUUUAUAAAAAGAAAAUAGAUUUACAUCCUAAACCUAGAGCUGAUACUGCGUAUUAAUAAAAUCGUGUAGCUUCUUUACAUACAGCGUUGUAUUACAUAAACGCUAGCACAGAUCGAAACCCGAUUAUUUGUAUAUCGACAAAGCCAAAAAACUUUAAAAACUUAUCUGAAUGUCUCAAUUUGCGGCAGAUGUUCCAGAGGUACUGGUCAAACCAGGCAAGAUGCUUAACUACUGGUCUACGAAGAUGAAAGUUGGGGCUGUCCUGCUGGCCUUGGCACUUUAUAUUUACUUACUUAUGUGCAUCAAAAAUAUUUACUUGAAAAGUCAGAAGUUAGAGAAUAUUAAGGCUAUGGUGGGAGAGACGGGGAAGAUAAUGCACAACUUACACAUGGUGGAUGCUAACCUUGCCCUGAAUAUAAAGCAGCUGGAAGCCAUGUAUGAUGCGGCGUGAGUUUGACUUGUGAUACCUUGUGCCAGAUAUUAGGUGCUGAAUCUCUUACUUGUCUCAUUUUGGUGGUUCUUUUUAUGGUAUUUAUCUGAUAAGCCAUUAAGUAUUAUUAUUGAAUUAAGUUAUAACAUGUAUUUUAUGUUAAAUAUACUUUUUGUGAAUUUAAAAAUCCGAACUCAGUCCCGCUGAAGAAGCUUUAACAUUCUAUUUGUAUUUAAUUGAAGUUUGUAUUAAUACUUUGUGAUACUAUUUAUUUUCUUGUUAACAUCUGAAAGAUUUUAUUAUUAAUUAGUAAUUAAACAUAUAGGAUACUUAGCCAUGAUACUUAGCAUGUCAAUUUGGUGAAUCAGCUUAGUUAAGAACCACAAUAAGGAGAUUGAAUAGACUACUAUUCCUUGUUCUUAAUAUAAUUUAUUGCAGAAGAGGA
Long non-coding RNA from Plodia interpunctella (Indianmeal moth), 993 nucleotides. RefSeq lists it as uncharacterized. The transcript has 3 exons. The record is from RefSeq and is a predicted model, not a curated record. Lineage: Eukaryota; Metazoa; Arthropoda; Insecta; Lepidoptera; Pyralidae.